RNAcentral lists this ribosomal RNA (533 nucleotides) under uncultured bacterium. RNAcentral's name for it is "bacterial SSU rRNA". It matches the Rfam family "Bacterial small subunit ribosomal RNA", at positions 777 to 1304 of the family's 1533-position model. The record is from RNAcentral.
AAUAGAUACCCCGGUAGUCCUAGCUGUAAACGAUGAGCACUGGGUUGAGGGGACUUCCACAUCCUCUCGGCCGUAGCGAAAGCGUUAAGUGCUCCGCCUGGGGAGUAUGGCCGCAAGGCUGAAACUCAAAGGAAUUGACGGGGGCUCACACAAGCGGUGGAGGAUGUGGCUUAAUUCGAGGCUACGCGAAGAACCUUACCCUAGAUUUGACAUGGUUGAGAAUCUCCUUGAAAGAGGAGAGUGCCCUUCGGGGAGCUCUUUCACAGGUGCUGCAUGGCUGUCGUCAGCUCGUGUCGUGAGAUGUUGGGUUAAGUCCCUUAACGAGCGAAACCCUUAUCUUUAGUUGCCAGCGGGUCAAGCCGGGGACUCUAAAGAGACUGCCGGUGUCAAACCGGAGGAAGGUGGGGAUGACGUCAAGUCCUCAUGGCCUUUAUGUCUAGGGCUGCACACGUCCUACAAUGGCACGUACAAAGGGAAGCCAAGCCGCGAGGCCGCGCUAAUCCCAAAAAGCGUGCCCCAGUUCGGAUUGCAGG